GACGAACGCUGGCGGCGUGCCUAAUACAUGCAAGUAGAACGCGGAAGGAGGAGCUUGUUUCUCUGGAUGAGUUGCGAACGGGUGAGUAACGCGUAGGUAACCUGCCUGGCAGUGGGGGAUAACUUUUGGAAACGAUAGCUAAUACCGCAUAAGAGUAGAUGUCGCAUGACAUUCGCGUAAUAGUUGCAAUUGCAUCACUAGCAGAAGGACCUGCGGUGUAUUAGCUAGUUGGUGAGGUAACGGCUCACCAAGGCAACGAUACAUAGCCGACCUGAGAGGGGGAUCGGCCACACUGGGACUGGAGCACGGCCCAGACUCCUACGGGAGGCAGCCGUAGGGAAACAUCGGAAAUGGACGGAAGUCUGACCGAGCAACGCCGCGUGAGUGGAGGAGGUUUUCGGAUCGUAAAGCUCUGUUGUAAGAGAAGAACGAGUAUGAGAGUGGAAAGUUCACACUGUGACGGUAUCUUACCAGAAAGGGACGGCUAACUACGUG
This 495-nucleotide ribosomal RNA is filed under the name uncultured bacterium. Its description in RNAcentral is "partial 16S ribosomal RNA". It matches the Rfam family "Bacterial small subunit ribosomal RNA", at positions 28 to 507 of the family's 1533-position model. The record is from RNAcentral.